Molecule: transfer RNA, 77 nt
Filed under: Patescibacteria group bacterium
Lineage: Bacteria
Description: tRNA-Pro
Rfam family: tRNA
About the family: Transfer RNA (tRNA) molecules are approximately 80 nucleotides in length. Their secondary structure includes four short double-helical elements and three loops (D, anti-codon, and T loops).
Source: RNAcentral
CGGGCUGUAGCUCAGUAGGCUAGAGCGCUACGUUCGGGACGUAGAGGUCGCUGGUUCAAGUCCAGUCAGCCCGACCA